AUGGCGAACUUGGUGAAGCAUCUGGACGUCCAGGAGGCCGUCAGGAGAGAGAUCGAGGCUGUCGUCGGGGUGGAUGCCGAUGAGGUCGGCGAGGAAGACCUUGGUAGGAUGCAGUACCUCAACGCUGUCCUCAUGGAGGCGCUCCGUCUGCACCCCAGCGUGCCCACUGUGGUUAGGCAGGUGAUGCCCGAGGACCACGUCGUUCUGGAUGGCCAGCGCGUCACGGCGGGGACGAUCGUGCAGUUCCCGCUGGAGCGUCUGGGGCGGGACAAGACGUCGUGGGCCGAACCAGAUGAGUUUCAGCCGGAACGGUUCCUGGCUAGCGGCGGGGGCAAUGGCGUGAGCCUUGUGGCGGUUGCAGGAAGCGCCGGAUAA
RNAcentral lists this ribosomal RNA (375 nucleotides) under Triticum aestivum (bread wheat). Its description in RNAcentral is "partial small subunit ribosomal RNA". Lineage: Eukaryota; Viridiplantae; Streptophyta; Magnoliopsida; Poales; Poaceae. The record is from RNAcentral.